AUUGAACGCUGGCGGCAGGCCUAACACAUGCAAGUCGAACGGCAGCACGGGAGCAAUCCUGGUGGCGAGUGGCGAACGGGUGAGUAAUAUAUCGGAACGUGCCCGGUCGUGGGGGAUAACGUAGCGAAAGCUACGCUAAUACCGCAUACGAUCUACGGAUGAAAGCGGGGGAUCGCAAGACCUCGCGCGAUUGGAGCGGCCGAUAUCAGAUUAGGUAGUUGGUGGGGUAAAGGCUCACCAAGCCAACGAUCUGUAGCUGGUCUGAGAGGACGACCAGCCACACUGGAACUGAGACACGGUCCAGACUCCUACGGGAGGCAGCAGUGGGGAAUUUUGGACAAUGGACGCAAGUCUGAUCCAGCCAUUCCGCGUGCAGGAUGAAGGCCCUCGGGUUGUAAACUGCUUUUGUACGGAACGAAACGGUGAGCUCUAAUACAGUUUGCUAAUGACGGUACCGUAAGAAUAAGCACCGGCUAACUACGUAGCCAGCAGCC
Molecule: ribosomal RNA, 494 nt
Filed under: uncultured bacterium
Lineage: Bacteria
Description: bacterial SSU rRNA
Rfam family: Bacterial small subunit ribosomal RNA
Source: RNAcentral